Molecule: long non-coding RNA, 1682 nt
Organism: Gasterosteus aculeatus aculeatus (three-spined stickleback)
Lineage: Eukaryota; Metazoa; Chordata; Actinopteri; Perciformes; Gasterosteidae
Source: Ensembl
UUUUCCUCCACUGGUGAAGAUGUUCUUGUAAACACGUACAGAAAGACCACACCAUCUGGACCUUGUUGUUUUCCUGCUUCAUUAAAAUCUCUGUUGGUGUAACGACCAACAUCUUCACCUGAGACGUUUCUUAUAACCAGAGAACAGUUUGCUGUCAAACUCAGUCUGUUGGUUUUAGCUUCUGGAAUCAAAGCGUUAUUAUUAAUCUUCCCAAGUUUAACCAGCUCCACAGAUGAUCCACUACGACUGUAAAGCCAAGUAGAACCGUUACAUCUGUCCUGAUCCACACGGUUAGAAGGCAAAGUGACGUCAUCUCCGGCUCUGACGAGGAAGCGGGGGUCAGGGGGGGUUUGUCCUCUUACUAUUGACACAUAUGAAAGAACUGAGGUAAGAAUACAGAUCUCUAGACUCCAGUCACACGUGAUGAAGUCAUUAUUUGUGCCCCUCCCAUCUGGCAGGAGGCUGAGGUCCAUCAGGACUUAGACUUGCCGUCGGCAGUCGGGCUCAUCAACAGAUUCCCGUCCCCCACUGACUGACUCUGUCGUCCCACCGGUCGCUUUCUUUCUCACUGCACACGUCACUUUCUGUUCGCUGGUGCACUUUAUUUUUCAUUUCUAAACAUUUCUUUUAUCCCUUUAUUUUUAAACUAACCCGUAGCAUUAUAUUUGAUCUUAUUCCUCGUGCACUGUUGUCUUGUCCUUCAUUGUCGUACUGUCUGCUGUUACGCAACCGCCAAGUGUCGCCGUGGUGCAGGAAUAGAGGGUGUGCUGGGAACCGCAAGGUUGGUGGUCUGAGUCCCAGCUGCCCCGUGUCCCUGAGCAACACACCUAACAACCUAUUUGCUCCCCGGGCAAAAAUAUAAUACGCCAUGGGUUAAAAAUGUAAUGUAAGUAGCUUUGGAUAAAAGCAAAAAUGUAAAGUCAAAUUCCUUGCAUGUCUGACAUAUUAUGGCAAUAAAUGUUUCCUGAUUCCUGAUUAACAAACAGCAUCAGAUGUCUUUUCACAAACGUACCUGUUUGUUCACAUGAGAACUGACUGCAGGCUUCAAACAGCAGAGUUUUUCCACUCCGAGUGUCUCUCACUUCACAUCUCAGUGACUUAUAAUACUUUGACUUCUGAUGAAGAGGAGCUUUAAACGUCACAUUGGCUUCACAAGCAACGUGUGAUGUCGUCACAUCAGUCUGUUUGCCGUCAUAAUGCCACUUUACUGUGUGUUCACACUCAGAGAAUCUCAACACAAAGCAGGACAACACAACCAGACCCCCGUAGUCCUUUUCCUCCACUGGUGAAGAUGUUCAUAUUGUAAACACGUACAGAGAGACCACACCAUCUGGACCUUGAUGUUUUCCUCCUUCAUCAUAAUGUCUGUUGGUGUAACGACCAACACCUUCACCUGAGACGUUUCUUAUAACCAGAGAACAGUUUGCUGUCAAACUCAGUCUGUUGGUUUUAGCUUCUGGAAUCAAAGCGUUAUUCUUAAUCUUCCCAAGUGUAACCAGCUCCACAGCUGGAUCACUACGACUGUGAAGCCAAGUAGAUCCGUUACAUCUGUCCUGAUUAGAAGGCAAAGUGACGUCAUCUCCGGCUCUGACGAGGAAGCGGGGGACAGGGGGGGUUUGUCCUCUUACUAUUGACACAUAUGAAAGAACUGAGGUAAGAAUACAGAUGUUUAGACUCCAGUC